UUUUCCAAAAACAUAUUUUAUAGAUUUUAUUAUAAAUACAACCUGCUCAAUGAAAUUUUAAAUAGCCGCAGUUUAUACUGUGCUAAGGUAGCAUAAUCAUUUGUCUUUUAAUUAAAGACUAGAAUGAAAGGUUUUACAUUUAAAUUAUUAUUUUAAUUAUUUCCUUUAAAUUUAUUUCAAAUGUAAAAAAACAUUUAUUUUUAAGAAAGACGACAAGACCCUAUCGAACUUUACUUUAGUUUAACUGGGGCAGUUAAUUAAUUAAAAUUUAAUACAUUAAUAUAUUAAUGAUCUGAUAUAAUCAAUUAUAUGAUCAAGUUACCGUAGGGAUAACAGCGUAAUUAUUAUUAAUAGAUCUUAUAUAAAUAAUAGAUUGCGACCUCGAUGUUGAAUUAAUUUUUCUAUUAGAUGCAACAAUUUAAUAAGAAAGUCUGUUCGACUUUUAAUAAAUUACAUGAUCUGAG
This 464-nucleotide ribosomal RNA is filed under the name Damastes sp. RNAcentral describes it as "partial 16S ribosomal RNA". It matches the Rfam family "Bacterial large subunit ribosomal RNA", at positions 1803 to 2609 of the family's 2925-position model. The record is from RNAcentral. Lineage: Eukaryota; Metazoa; Arthropoda; Arachnida; Araneae; Sparassidae.